UACGUAGGUGGCAAGCGUUAUCCGGAAUUACUGGGCGUAAAGCGCACGCAGGCGGUCCGUUAAAUAAGGAGUGAAAGCCCUGGGCUCAACCCGGGAAUUGCUCUUUAGACUGGCGGACUUGAAUCCGGAAGAGGGCAGUGGAAUUCCAAGUGUAGAGGUGAAAUUCGUAGAUAUUUGGAAGAACACCAGUGGCGAAGGCGACUGCCUGGUCCGGCAUUGACGCUCAUGUGCGAAAGCGUGGGGAGCAAACAGG
This 253-nucleotide ribosomal RNA is filed under the name uncultured bacterium. RNAcentral's name for it is "partial 16S ribosomal RNA". It matches the Rfam family "Bacterial small subunit ribosomal RNA", at positions 524 to 776 of the family's 1533-position model. The record is from RNAcentral.